Molecule: transfer RNA, 71 nt
Filed under: Rattus norvegicus (Norway rat)
Lineage: Eukaryota; Metazoa; Chordata; Mammalia; Rodentia; Muridae
Rfam family: tRNA
About the family: Transfer RNA (tRNA) molecules are approximately 80 nucleotides in length. Their secondary structure includes four short double-helical elements and three loops (D, anti-codon, and T loops). Further hydrogen bonds mediate the characteristic L-shaped molecular structure. tRNAs have two regions of fundamental functional importance: the anti-codon, which is responsible for specific mRNA codon recognition, and the 3' end, to which the tRNAs corresponding amino acid is attached (by aminoacyl-tRNA synthetases). tRNAs cope with the degeneracy of the genetic code in two manners: having more than one tRNA (with a specific anti-codon) for a particular amino acid; and 'wobble' base-pairing, i.e. permitting non-standard base-pairing at the 3rd anti-codon position.
Source: Rfam by way of RNAcentral
AGGGAAGAAGCUCAGUGGUACGAAGUGCUGGCCUGGUAUGCCAGAGGCUGUGGGUUUGAUUCCCAGCCCUG